UAAAAAAGUGCGAAGAGCUCAAUAUUUGUUUAAAAAGUGAAAACCAUCAAUAUGCACGUAUCUACAUGUAAUUAACAAAACUGCCGCCGGAAUUCGCUAAAAAGUCAACAUGUCGUAUACGUAACAUAUUUGUACAGCUGCUCAUCACUACAACAGAUACUAUGCAAGCAGAGGUCGCAUAAAGUUGGUUAGUUUUAAGUUUAACAAGUUCGUUGAGUGUUUAAAGGAUCCAUAUACAUAUAGAUAUGUAUGUACGAAGUAGGUGGUUCGACAAAUUUCGCUCGCAAAUAAUUUAAUUAAUACUACGAAAGGCAAAUAAAGAAAAUUGGUGCAAUAAAUUAAAAUUUACAAAAGCGACAAAAUACGAGCAACUGGAAAAGCAACAACAACUGCAAUAUACCAAAACUCACACCUACACACACAUUCGUAGCAAAAAACUGCUAAAACAACAAACGUUGAGCACUCUUGUAAAAAACAUGUGACUGUUAAGGCGAGUAAGCAACACGCAAACGACAAAGUAAAAAUAAUAAAAACAGCAACACGAAAAAUUAAAAAAAGAACUGAAAAUGAACACUUAAACCGAAAAAUAAAGGAAUCAACGAAGCAGCGCCAAACGCCAACACAGAGAUAUGCAGCCAAUAUAACGGUAUAUUCAUAGUCGGUUUUUCGCGCGUUAAAAUAAUAUUUUAGUACAGUCUGCCGUAAAAACAUAUACAUACAAAUGCAAUGAAAAUACAGUGGCGUUUGUAAGCGCAGCAAAAAAUAGAAAAUGUAAAUUUAUUUAAAAAAACGCGGUUGUAAAAUUGAGACAAUAAAUAACGAAAUACUAACCUAGAACAUUUUUAAAUUCGGCAGUAGUACAUAUGUAUGUGUAUGUUUUUCAACCUAACCUCAAUAUAAGUUAGUUAUGUACAGUGCGUUUGAGUGUGUGUAAAUUUAAGUUACUUUGUGUCGACUUUAUUUAAUUAAAUAUAACAAAAACUACAACUCUUCUAAAACCAACGGCACCGGAAAUAUAAAACAACAACAAUAGCAACAGAAAGCGCGGUAGUCGUUAUCACGCUCAUCGUCACAACCAACGUUCGCAGUC
This 1090-nucleotide unclassified non-coding RNA is filed under the name Bactrocera tryoni. Its description in RNAcentral is "protein still life, isoform SIF type 1-like, transcript variant X5". Lineage: Eukaryota; Metazoa; Arthropoda; Insecta; Diptera; Tephritidae. The record is from RNAcentral.